GAUGAACGCUGGCGGCGUGCCUAAUACAUGCAAGUCGAGCGAACGGACGAGAAGCUUGCUUCUCUGAUGUUAGCGGCGGACGGGUGAGUAACACGUGGAUAACCUACCUAUAAGACUGGGAUAACUUCGGGAAACCGGAGCUAAUACCGGAUAAUAUCUUGAACCGCAUGGUUCAAAAGUGAAAGACGGUCUUGCUGUCACUUAUAGAUGGAUCCGCGCUGCAUUAGAUAGUUGGUAAGGUAACGGCUUACCAAGGCAACGAUGCAUAGCCGACCUGAGAGGGUGAUCGGCCACACUGGAACUGAGACACGGUCCAGACUCCUACGGGAGGCAGCAGUAGGGAAUCUUCCGCAAUGGGCGAAAGCCUGACGGAGCAACGCCGCGUGAGUGAUGAAGGUCUUCGGAUCGUAAAACUCUGUUAUUAGGGAAGAACAUAUGUGUAAGUAACUGUGCACAUCUUGACGGUACCUAAUCAGAAAGCCACGGCUAACUACGUG
This 497-nucleotide ribosomal RNA is filed under the name uncultured bacterium. RNAcentral describes it as "partial 16S ribosomal RNA". It matches the Rfam family "Bacterial small subunit ribosomal RNA", at positions 28 to 507 of the family's 1533-position model. The record is from RNAcentral.